ACACGUAGGAUGUAAGCGUUAUUCGGAUUUACUGGGCGUAAAGCGCGUGUAGGCGGUUGGGAUAGUUGGACGUGAAAGCUCCCGGCUUAACUGGGAGAGGUCGUUCAAAACUUCCCAACUAGAGUUUGGUAGAGGAAAAUGGUAUUCCGGGUGUAGUGGUGAAAUGCGUAGAUAUCCGGAGGAACACCAGUGGCGAAAGCGAUUUUCUGGACCGAUACUGACGCUCAGACGCGAAAGCUAGGGUAGC
This 247-nucleotide ribosomal RNA is filed under the name uncultured bacterium. RNAcentral describes it as "partial 16S ribosomal RNA". It matches the Rfam family "Bacterial small subunit ribosomal RNA", at positions 523 to 769 of the family's 1533-position model. The record is from RNAcentral.